GGCGCGAUGGCGGCGGGGCUGUGCUGGCGGGCCGGGCUGCGCGCGGGGAGGCGGAGACUGGUGGAUUCUCUUCAGCCAGCUGGUGUUCCUAAGCUCAGUUAUCGCUUUACAUCAUCACACAAAUAUGUUCCCAGACGGGCUGUGCUCUAUGUACCUGCGGAUGAUGAAAAGAAGAUAAGAAAAAUCCCAUCACUAAAUGUAGAUUGUGCAGUGUUGGACUGUGAAGAUGGUGUGGCUCUGAACAGAAAGAGAGAAGCAAGACUGAACAUCGUGAAAACCCUUGAAGAGUUUGACUUAGGCCAUGGUGAAAAGUGUGUCAGGAUAAACUCCGUGUCCAGCGGCCUUGCAGAAGAAGAUCUAGAGGUGCUUUUGCAGUCCAAGACCCUGCCUUCAAGCAUGAUGCUGCCAAAGGUUGAAAAUGUUGAGGAAAUAAGAUGGUUUUCAGACAAAUUCUUACAUCACCUAAAAGGCCGAACACUUGUAGAACCAAUGAAUUUUAUCCCCUUUGUGGAAACUGCAAUGGGCUUGCUCAAUUUUAAGGCUGUCUGUGAAGAAGCACUGAGAACAGGAUCCCAGGCUGGCUUUCAUUUGGAUGCAGUUGUCUUUGGAGGAGAGGAUUUCCGUGCCAGCAUAGGUGCAACAAGCAGUAAAGAAACUCACGAUAUUCUAUACGCCAGGCAAAAAAUCAUAGUCACAGCAAAGGCAUUUGGCCUUCAAGCAAUAGACCUUGUUUACAUUGAUUUCCAUGAUGAAGAUGGGCUCCGCAGGCAAUCGAGGGAAGGCGCCUCCAUGGGAUUCACGGGUAAGCAGGUGAUUCACCCCAACCAAAUUGCUGUUGUCCAGGAACAGUUCUCUCCGAGCCCGGAAAAAAUAAAGUGGGCACAAGAACUGAUUUCUGCUUUUGAAGAACAUCAGCGAUUAGGCAAGCAAACAUAUCUCACAGAGGGAUCCUCUCUCUCCACAUCCUAACGACAUGCUAAAAUGGAGCGUUUACUUUCCGCGGGAGCAUGAUCGACAUGCCAUUACUGAAGCAGGCACAGAACAUUGUUACACUUGCCACAGCCAUCAAGAAAAAAUGAGCUGAUCUGUCAUAGUUUGCUUGCUGGAAUUGCUAAUUGCUAAAACUAUUCCCAACUCAAACCACUGCUCACUGCUGCAUGGCCCAUGUUCUACUCAUAGCCUGCAAUGAAGUUACAUCAUCAAAUCUGUGACAUCACAGUAAUUACUGCAAAUGUGGGAGUAUGACUUCACUGAAGAAGAAAGGCAAAACAUGAGCCCUGAGCUCUGUUAAAGAGCAGAUGGAAACUAAUUCAAUUCUUUCUAUUUCUUUCUGUGCUUCUUCCUGCUCUGAUGCAGAACUCCUGGCAGAAACGAGAAAGCCUCACAUAAUUAUGCACCAGUUGAAAUAACUGCAAUGAAAAUCUUUACCCUUUGUGAGCUUUGCUAUCCCCCCACACUGCCCUUCUGUAAGUGUGCAACAGCCAUUAAAAAUAAUGCUCCAACAA
Molecule: RNA transcript, 1505 nt
Organism: Melospiza melodia melodia
Lineage: Eukaryota; Metazoa; Chordata; Aves; Passeriformes; Passerellidae
Gene: CLYBL
Gene name: citramalyl-CoA lyase
Exons: 10
Source: RefSeq, a predicted model, not a curated record